GGGGGAAUUUUCCGCAAUGGGCGAAAGCCUGACCGAGCAAUGCCGCGUGAACGAUGAAGGCCUUCGGGUUGUAAAGUUCUGUUAUCAGGGAAGAACAUACGGAUUAGGAAAUGACUCCGUACUGACGGUACCUGAUCAGAAAGCUCCGGCCCAACUACGUGCCAGCAGCCGCGGUAAUACGUAGGGAGCAAGCGUUAUCCGGAACUAUUGGGCGUAAAGCGUGCGUAGGCGGUUCGUUAAGUCAAAUCUGAAAGCCCACAGCUCAACUGUGGAGGGCGAUUUGAAACUGGCGAACUUGAGUACGGCAGAGGUUAGUGGAAUUCAAUGUGUAGCGGUGGAAUGCGUAGAUAUAUUGAGGAACACCAGUGGCGAAGGCGGCUAACUGGACCGGAACUGACGCUGAGGCACGAAAGCGUGGGUAGCAAACAGGAUUAGAUACCCUGGUAGUCCACGCCGUAAACGAUGAGAACUAAGUGUUGGGGUUACCCAGUGCUGAAGCUAACGCAUUAAGUUCUCCGCCUGGGGAUUACGACCGCAAGGUUGAAACUCAAAGAAAUUGACGGGUCUCCGCACAAGCGGUGGAGCAUGUUGUUUAAUUCGACGAUACGCGAAGAACCUUACCAGGGCUUGACAUCCCAGUGAAAGGUGUAGAGAUACAUUUUUCCUUCGGGACACUGGUGACAGGUGGUGCAUGGUUGUCGUCAGCUCGUGUCGUGAGAUGUUGGGUUAAGUCCCGCAACGAGCGCAACCCCUAUUGAUAGCUGCUAACAUUAAGUUGAGGACUCUAUCGAGACUGCCAGUGAUAAACUGGAGGAAGGUGGGGAUGACGUCAAAUCAUCAUGCCCCUUAUGUCCUGGGCUACAAACGUGCUACAAUGGCUGGUACAAUGGGUCGCCAAACUGUGAAGUGGAGCUAAUCCUUUAAAGCCAGUCUCAGUUCGGAUUGGAGUCUGCAACUCGACUCCAUGAAGUUGGAAUCGCUAGUAAUUGCAGGUC
This 995-nucleotide ribosomal RNA is filed under the name uncultured bacterium. Its description in RNAcentral is "bacterial SSU rRNA". It matches the Rfam family "Bacterial small subunit ribosomal RNA", at positions 355 to 1350 of the family's 1533-position model. The record is from RNAcentral.